GUGAUGGCCUACCAAGGCGACGACGGGUAGCCGGCCUGAGAGGGCGACCGGCCACACUGGGACUGAGACACGGCCCAGACUCCUACGGGAGGCAGCAGUGGGGAAUAUUGCACAAUGGGCGCAAGCCUGAUGCAGCGACGCCGCGUGAGGGAUGAAGGCCUUCGGGUUGUAAACCUCUUUCAGCAGGGAAGAAGCGCAAGUGACGGUACCUGCAGAAGAAGCGCCGGCUAACUACGUGCCAGCAGCCGCGGUAAUACGUAGGGCGCAAGCGUUGUCCGGAAUUAUUGGGCGUAAAGAGCUCGUAGGCGGUUUGUCGCGUCUGCUGUGAAAACUCGAGGCUCAACCUCGGGCUUGCAGUGGGUACGGGCAGACUAGAGUGCGGUAGGGGAGACUGGAAUUCCUGGUGUAGCGGUGGAAUGCGCAGAUAUCAGGAGGAACACCGAUGGCGAAGGCAGGUCUCUGGGCCGCAACUGACGCUGAGGAGCGAAAGCAUGGGGAGCGAACAGGAUUAGAUACCCUGGUAGUCCAUGCCGUAAACGUUGGGCACUAGGUGUGGGGCUCAUUCCACGAGUUCCGUGCCGCAGCAAACGCAUUAAGUGCCCCGCCUGGGGAGUACGGCCGCAAGGCUAAAACUCAAAGAAAUUGACGGGGGCCCGCACAAGCGGCGGAGCAUGCGGAUUAAUUCGAUGCAACGCGAAGAACCUUACCAAGGCUUGACAUACACCGGAAACUUCCAGAGAUGGUUGCCCCGCAAGGUCGGUGUACAGGUGGUGCAUGGU
RNAcentral lists this ribosomal RNA (779 nucleotides) under Cellulomonas hominis. RNAcentral's name for it is "bacterial SSU rRNA". It matches the Rfam family "Bacterial small subunit ribosomal RNA", at positions 257 to 1049 of the family's 1533-position model. The record is from RNAcentral. Lineage: Bacteria; Bacillati; Actinomycetota; Actinomycetes; Micrococcales; Cellulomonadaceae.